This 446-nucleotide ribosomal RNA is filed under the name uncultured bacterium. RNAcentral describes it as "bacterial SSU rRNA". It matches the Rfam family "Bacterial small subunit ribosomal RNA", at positions 335 to 797 of the family's 1533-position model. The record is from RNAcentral.
ACUCCUACGGGAGGCAGCAGCAGGGAAUCUUGCACAAUGGGCGAAAGCCUGAUGCAGCAACGCCGCGUGUGGGAUGAAGGCCUUCGGGUUGUAAACCACUUUCAGGAGGGAAGAAAUUGACGGUACCUCCAAAAGAAGGUCCGGCCAACUACGUGCCAGCAGCCGCGGUAAUACGUAGGGACCGAGCGUUAUCCGGAAUCAUUGGGCGUAAAGAGCUCGUAGGCGGUUCAGAAAGUCGGCUGUGAAAGUCCAAGGCUCAACCUUGGAAAUGCAGUCGAGACUUCUGUGACUAGAGUCUGGUAGAGGAGAAUGGAAUUCCCGGUGUAGCGGUGGAAUGCGCAGAUAUCGGGAGGAACACCAGUAGCGAAGGCGGUUCUCUGGGCCUCGACUGACGCUGAGGAGCGAAAGCAUGGGUAGCAAACAGGAUUAGAUACCCUGGUAGCGAG